UACGAAGGGAGCUAGCGUUGUUCGGAAUUACUGGGCGUAAAGGGCGCGUAGGCGGCGUCGAUAGUCGGGCGUGAAAUGCCUGGGCUCAACCCAGGAAUUGCGCUCGAUACUCCGAUGCUUGAGUGUGGGAGAGGAUAGUGGAAUUCCCAGUGUAGAGGUGAAAUUCGUAGAUAUUGGGAAGAACACCAGCGGCGAAGGCGGCUAUCUGGACCACAACUGACGCUGAGGCGCGAAAGCGUGGGGAGCAAACAGG
Molecule: ribosomal RNA, 253 nt
Filed under: uncultured bacterium
Lineage: Bacteria
Description: partial 16S ribosomal RNA
Rfam family: Bacterial small subunit ribosomal RNA
Source: RNAcentral